This 847-nucleotide ribosomal RNA is filed under the name uncultured archaeon. Its description in RNAcentral is "bacterial SSU rRNA". It matches the Rfam family "Archaeal small subunit ribosomal RNA", at positions 33 to 885 of the family's 1478-position model. The record is from RNAcentral.
UUGGAGUUCGAUUAAGCCAUGCCAGUCGAGAGUCUUAGGGACUCGGCGCACCGCUCAGUAACACGUGGGUAACCUGCCCUAUGCUGGGGAAUAACCUCGGGAAACUGAGAAUAAUGCCCCAUAGCCCACUACGCCUGGAACGGUGAGUGGGUCAAAGCUCCGGCGGCAUAGGAUGGGCCUGCGCCGUAUCAGGUUGUAGGGGGUGUAAAGUACCCUCUAGCCAUCAACGCGUACGGGUGUUGGGAGACAUUGCCCGGAGAUGGAUUCUGAGACACGAAUCCAGACCCUACGGGGUGCAGCAGGCGCGAAAACUUGGCAAUGCGAGCAAUCGUGACCAGGGAACUCCAAGUGCGUAGGGUAAGACCUACGCUUUUCUUGACUCUUCAAAGGUCUUGGAAUAAGGGGUGGGUAAGGACGGUGCCAGCCGCCGCGGUAAUACCGGCGCCUCAAGUGGUAGUCGCUUUUAUUGGGCCUAAAACGUCCGUAGCCGGUCUGGUGCAUUCGUGGGUAAAUCAACCCGCUCAACGGGUUGAAUUCUGCGAGCACGGCCAGACUUGGGACCGGGAGAGGUGUGGGGUACUCUCAGGGUAGGGGUAAAAUCCUGUCAUCCUGAGAGGACCACCUGUUGCGAAGGCGCCACACUAGAACGGAUCCGACGGUCAGGGACGAAACCUAGGGGCACGAACCGGAUUAGAUACCCGGGUAGUCCUAGGUGUAAACGCUGUGGACUUGAUGUUGGGGGCGCUCCGAGCGCUUUCAGUGUCGAAGCGAAGGUGAUAAGUCCACUGCCUGGGGAGUACGGUCGCAAGGCUGAAACUUAAAGGAAUUGGCGGGGGAGCACUGCAAC